Molecule: long non-coding RNA, 2224 nt
Organism: Rosa chinensis
Lineage: Eukaryota; Viridiplantae; Streptophyta; Magnoliopsida; Rosales; Rosaceae
Exons: 8
Source: RefSeq, a predicted model, not a curated record
GUCAUGCCCUUUGCAAACUCCUCACCAAUUCGCAACUUCGCAAUGCCCCAAACCUAAUAGCCAAAAUCCCAGACCUUCCUAUGAGUUCUCCUCCGCAAGUUCUUCUUCUCGUCUAAUCACCCAGUUCGCUUGCAAAAAUCUCAACUCUUCCCCACCCAAGUUCUUCUCUUGGGCUAUCGGAUUUCGCGACAGGGGUUGUGCAUGUGUUCAAUCGAGGACGAAGAGAACAUCUCAGAUUGUGAUUUCUAAUCAUAAAUUCAGAUGCGAUGGAGUUUCUGAACUUGGUAGAUGACUCGGUUCAAGCAUAUCAAACUCUUAUGCACGAUUUGGAUGAGUUUCUGAAGAACUAUGACAAGUAGCUCUAGACUCAAAUCGAUGCGAUGCCCAGCCACCAUUCCCUCAAACUUUAGCGAGAAACCCCAACAAGCGUCGUCAUCUCCACCCCUCUUUAUUGUCUCGCGCUGGUGAAAUUGGUAGAGUUGUUCAAGCGGUGCCGAUUGGAAGUACCAUAAGUAUUUUCUUGAGUUUGCUGCAAAAACAGGGGUUUAAAAGCUAAGAACAUAUUCUCUAGGUAUGUUAUUAAGCUUGAUACACUCAAUCCAUAUAUAAAGUUAAAAUUGAGGUAAUAUAUUCGGUUCCCAUCUCCAUCAUCAUUACAAUCUAUUCCACUUCAAAUUUUCUCUGUGCCUCAGUAGAAUAUGAUAGGUUAAGUAUUAUCUUGCAAUUGGAGUUUUUCUUUGUUACCAUCUGCAUGGGUCCAAUGUUUGGUUUAUUAGCUAGAUAAGUACUCUUCUAAUUUCCUUGCUGGUUGCUUUGGAAGAUGAUAAAAAGCUUUUCAAUUAUUUUGAUAUGUGUUGUUUAGUCAUCCAUGUUCAGGAAGACAUAAACUAAAGGGGCAGGCAAUGGGAUCCUCCAUAUGCUCUUUGCUCUCCAGGUUGAGAUUUAUGUUUUUGUAUUUCUACAACAAUCAUGUAGUGAUAUUUUUCAACCCCUUAUGUUUCCUACAUUUUUUUGACACGUACUGGGUAGCACUAACAACCAAAGUUUGUCUUUGGUGGGUAUUAUCUUUUCAAAAGAAUGUACCUAAUAGUUUGAAACUUCAUAUUUUUAUUAGAAGGUGGAGGGGGUGAAUGGUUUGGUUUCGAAACUUGUUGUUGUAGCAAUGUAAGAGAAGCCACACUUGACAAAUGUGAAGCAUUAGUGUGCAGCAGCUCUGUAUGUAUAAUAAUGUGGCCAUAUGUUUUAACAAACAGUGAAAAUACUCUUCUUUAGUAACUCAAUAUUCAAUUAGAUUUCAAACUCUAGCUUGUAUAUUCGUCAGUCGUAACUAUGAAUGACUAAUGGGAUCAAUAAUAACAUGUUUGCUUCCACGGGGUGGAGCAGGGCAGAUCCUAUUUUCCUAGAGGUCAUGGAUCUGAUCAAGGGUCUUUCUGUAACAGACUAAAAUAUGAACACAAGAACUUAGUGUGCAGCAGCUCUGUAGGAGAAUGUCCUAAGACAUACUGGGGAACUAUAGUAAAUAAUAGGUUGAGAAUGAUGUGGUAACUUUUUCUUGUGUUCUUAAAUUAAUGUGGCAACUUUUGCUUCUGUUAUGCUCACUAUCUAUUUCCUUUAAGCUUCAUAGUUAGCACCAUCAUGAGUGUGAUUCACUUCAUAUAGUUCCUGGCACAUCACGUAAAGCUUUCUCUUUGCUUGUUUUUCUUUUUGUUGUCUUCUGGCAAGUUAAGUAUCUUAUGUAUUUCAAUUAUAGCAUUUCAGAAACUCUCUGAACUUUAUGUCCAUAUGAGGUAGAAAAGCUUGAAUAUGUGACUCAAAGAUCAUCAAAGAAAAAAUUCCUUGCAAAAGGCCAUUUUUCUUGUAGUGUAAAGGAAUCUGAUGGGGUAUAUGGACCAGCAUGGCACUGCAUUGUAGGAACAAAUUUUGGGUCUUUUGUCACACACUCAGCUUACUCAUCCAGCCUGAUAGAUGUAGAAAAGGAUUAUCUUUCAAUGGAUAAACGAUAUCCCAGGCUCUUUAUACCCUCAGAAUUCUGCAAGGCUGUGGCCAAGGGAGAAUCUUCAACUUUCUAUCCAGACUCCUGUCAGGUAUCAUGAUUCUGACGUUGUCUUGGCCAAGUUAUUUUCAAAAGAUCAUAUCUUGCUUCAGGAUAUGGAAUCCUUUAGCUUCUUUGAAAAACACAUAUUAGUGCUUUGCAUAUUAUUAUUAUUUUUUAUUUUUCUCAAAG